GGCAUCUUUAGCAUUGACUUGGUUAUUCCGGCGUCGUUCUCAGACGUCCAUGGCGGCAGAAGUUUCAUGCCUCUAACUCAAUUCACAUUUCUCCCCCCUCAUCUUUGUCUUUCCCAGCCAUUGAACCUUGUUUCGUCGCCUACGUCUGGUUGACGAGUUCCACCGCACAAGCCUUCAUUUCGAAGUUAUUCCAAAAUUUCCCUUUCUUUUCAAAUUUGAUGGCGACAGAUACAUACAGUGAAGCGUGUUUUUCUGUCUGAGAGCGUAAGGGAAGAAGGAUUUUACCUAAUAUUGUAUUUAUCAUCGACGAAUUUGGAUUCCCAUUCUUUUUAUCAGCAGCGUCAUAAGUGGUUGGGUUACUUAUGGCUGCUUUGAUUCGUGUGGCGUGAUCUCUCUCUUGGUUAUGAAGUUCGGCAGUGUUUAUCCCUUUCCUUCUUCUAGCUUAUUGCAAUACUCAUGGCGUUACUGGCUUAAUCAAGUAUCUUCAGUUUAAGCAGGAGUUAGAGCGUGGUUUACAUGAGGAGAUGCGAUAGUUCUCGACAGCUUUAUCCUUUAAUCAGUUUCCAGAUAGGGGAUUUGCAGUCAUAUCUUUCGGAUCUUAGCCUUUUCUUGGCCCCCGAUAGUAAGACGUUUUAUGUAUUGGUGGAUAAUAGGCCAUGGCUGGAAGAUUUGGCAUCUAGGCCUGCGCACCUAUGGCAGCUGAUGGUUACCAAGUCAAGGAUGUCCCCUUUUGCAAACACAAGAGGGAAAAAAGGGAGGAAGGGGAGGAAAGAGACUGCAGAGUUCAUUGACCAGAAGGUCCGUUCUAAAGCUUCAAGCCGGUCCGAAAACUUGAAAAAAUGGUUCUCGGUUGUUAAUGCUGCAACACUAUCAAGAAAGAGGGCCUUGCUGCCUGUCAAGAAACUCAGGAGUUCCUUGCUUGCAAAUAGCAAAUUGCACAGAACCUUGUAUGGUUUCAUUGUCUUUCAAGUGACGUGGAAAGAUGUUCGUGGUAUCAAUUACUUGAAUGAGCUUCAGACUGAUACGUCUCUCGCUGUAGAGGCUAAAUACAUGAAGAGAUGGGAAUUUGAUAGCAUAGCUCAAUCAGCUAAAGGCAUAACUUCAUGGUUUCCAGGGACACCGUCUGAACGAUCUCUCUUGGAAGAGCAUCUAAAUUCUAUGUUAGGAGACAUGUUCCAUGAUGCUCCUAAAGAAUUUCCAGACUGCUGCAGCACAAAUGGCGAUGAAAAAACCUCAAAUGCUAGUGCCAGGGGGGAGAAUGCAUCUCCCUGCAAUCCUUGUAGCAAUCUUGGUGAGCAACUAGAAAGUUUAGAAGACCAAACAAGUAUACUACAAACACCUCCUCCCACUGGACCCUAUAAGAGAAGGAAACUGAUGAAUCCUGAGGGCGUUGAUGUUGAGGCCAAUUUUUAUACUGAAGUAGCUCAUGGUGGAGCUGUUUGCACACAAAUGCCCUCCUCCUACGCAAGUGAUUGUGAUGAAACAGCGGAAGCUACCGAGUACAGGGAUGUGUUACUUUUGUUCCGGUUCAACGACCGUGACCUCCCUUUUGACUUGAAAGAAAUAAUAGUAUCUGAUUUGAGAUUACUUACUCUAUUAGAGGCUGGACUUCCCUCUUGGGUGAUUUUCUUUCAGUCUUACCCUGUAUUUUGUCAUAUCUAUCGUCCAUGGAUGUGUCCUCUAGCAAGAGCUCUAUAUGUGGUAAUUUCCAUUGUUACGGUUGUCAUUGGUUUCUAUGAUUUGUACAAAAAUGUCCCAGUUCUUAAGGCAACUGCUUCCCGUUUAUGUGGGCCACUUUUUGAUUGGAUAGAAACAUGGGAGAUGGUAUCAAGGAUCAAAUACUUGGGAACUAUGCUGUUUCUGCACAACUCUGAGAAGGCUGUUAUGUGGUUCUUGAUGAUGACUCGCACUGUGCGAUCAUUUGUUUCAAUUAUCACACAACCUUUAGCUGGGCCAUUUCUGGAUUUUCUAGAGGUUCUCCUUCCCUUUUGGAACUUAUUUGUCCAGAUCGCACAGUAUUUUGGCUCGUUCAUUUGGAUUCUGAUGGAAACUUCUUGGGACCUAGUGGAGAAUCUAACUGAGGUCAUACUGGUUCCUGUGUGGUUCACUUUGUCAGUUAUCUGGACGAUUGUAACAACAGUUAUGUAUCCUAUAUUUUGGUUCCUUUGGGGGAUACUCUAUGCUCCAAUUCGUCUCAUUCUAGGUCUAUCCGACUUUGUGGGAUAUGUCUAUAACAACAUCUAUGACUUAGUUGGAGACAUAUGGCUGUUUGUGAGUGGCAUCUUCAAGUUAGCUUCAAAUGCUGAGGCAACUGUGAACACUUAUGAGGUUUCUAUCUGGCGUUCUCUUUGGAAUGACCUCUUCUCCCAGGUUUUCCGUGCUCUUCGGAGUAUCUUAAACGGCUUUGUUGCAUUCUUUACAGCUUGCAAUAGACAUCGAUUAAGCAUAUACAACCACUUACAUGAGUUCACUCGAACAAUUAAUCAGCCAUCCCAGAGGUCACAGCUCUUGACUCCUAGCCAUGGAUCACAGGGAUCUGGAAGUCGGAUAUCAGCGGAAGCCGUGGAACGAAAGCAGCUGCGAAGGAGAAAUUCAAAAAAGAGUUGACACGCAAUUUGCAAGGCAUAUUUUCAGUAUAUAGAUGGAUCACUCACUAACCAACCAAGAAUUCGUAUAGAAACACUAUGUCCAUAGCCUGAAUAUGUAUAGGUUUCAAUGAAUCCAGAAGAAUGUGGGUUUGAAGUUUCUCUUUAUCAACGCUCGGAAGAAAUGGUAAGAGAAUCUUAUGGGCCGUUUAUCAAAUGCUUACCAGGUAAACGUUUGCCGCCAAUAGUCACCACCUUCACUUACUAUAUCGAAUAACAUUCUCGGCCAUCAAAACGGAUUGGUGGUAAGCGCUUACUGGGAAAGAGUCUUUUCCCUCAACUACCGAGUAAUGUUUUCGGUCAUUGCUAUUUCUUUCACUUGGUUAGAUUCUUGGUCCUUGGCUUUAGUGAGGAAUUCGAAUUCCACACAGAUAGAACGUAAAUUCCUUGAGUUUUAGUAAAAAACUUCAAUUUCUUCGUACCAUAUUUUAAGAAAAAGUUAUCAUACUCUUG
This is an RNA transcript of Cynara cardunculus var. scolymus (artichoke), 3098 nucleotides long. RefSeq lists it as uncharacterized. The transcript has 11 exons. The record is from RefSeq and is a predicted model, not a curated record. NCBI's taxonomy places the organism in Eukaryota, Viridiplantae, Streptophyta, Magnoliopsida, Asterales, Asteraceae.